RNAcentral lists this long non-coding RNA (7634 nucleotides) under Volvox carteri. RNAcentral's name for it is "long non-coding RNA (VCAR_LNC002263)". Lineage: Eukaryota; Viridiplantae; Chlorophyta; Chlorophyceae; Chlamydomonadales; Volvocaceae. The record is from RNAcentral.
UUGGAGACCACAAGAAGCCGUUCUGUGCUCCUGUCUCCCUUAACCGUAUUCUCGUGGCUAUGUCAACUCGAACAUGCUAGCUGACCGUGCAGAGAUUGGUAGAGACGGAAAACGGGGAGACAAGCUGCCAAGGGCCCUUACACUGCAGUAGAACACAGCUCAAGCCAACCACGGCUGCGUGACUGCGGCCCCUAAGGCCGCCACACCGGUAUCGCGCGGCCGACAACACACACCCCCAGGGGAAAAAAAACACGCGCGCGACAGACAACACAAGACGCGAGGCCAAAGGACGCCCAACGACCACCACGACAACGCACACAACGGCAACCCUAACGUGCCAAAGCCCGACCAAGAGACCGACCAAGUCCUACAGCGAAAAGCGCCCCCUCCAAGGGCUCCCAAGACCACUCUACAAGGCUAAACGACCCAACUGCAACCAAAACUUCCUCAAGUCUCUGCUCUCGACCCGAUUGCUGACAAGCCACUCCUCAGCGGGCGUCUUCUACCUGUCCGCCACUAGCCGAGCCCGGUGCGGAGGUGCCUGAAACUGGUCAGUGAAGAAAGGAAAAGCGAGGGGGGGGUGGAAGAAGAGAUAGCGACCUCGAAGCAAAGGGGGAAAGGUGGGCGGGAAGCUGUCAGCUAUAAGCUGAAGCUCUACUGAGUGAAAGGCAGAAUGCCUGAAACGAAAGGGCUGAAGCAAGUAAUACUCGCCAUUCCAAUACGGUUGUACGACAGUCGCACAGAACCAGACUUAGAGACUCCGAUCGCUUCACUCCGUCGUAUCUAAGUCAACAAUACGUGAAGCCGAUAAAUAUCCCUAUCAUAAAAUCCAAGCACUUAGCCGCUCCGGACCCAAGACCCAAAACUUGCGGACCAGCCAAUGGCCCUCCCACCCACCCAUUAAAGGGAUGUGGUGUGGCUUGAUUAAACAUUGGGAUCGGGUGCAAGGCUGGACGCAGCGCCCACCUUACGCUAGGCCGGUACGGAGCGACGAGCAUUAGCAUUCAAGCACUCCCCAGGGAAAAUCGUUUGGGGAGAUUCUCAGGCUCCCCACGGGGAGAGAGCCCCGGUUCAAAGGUCCCUCCCCAGCGGCAGAGGUCCCCACGGCUUGGGGACGCAGCCAUACUUCCAAAUGUUGUAAGCCAAAUAUUAUAAGCCAAAUGUCGUAAGCCAAAUGUUGCAGGCCCAAGUUUGUUUACUCGCUGCCCACCAUAAUCGACUUCAUAUCAGAAUCGUGGCGAAGGGCUACGUCCGAGAACUGACGACAUGCAGAAUAAGGCAUCCUAGACGAACAUGUCGCUUAUCUUCCACCUUGUGCAGCGCGCGCAACUCACAGAUCCACUCUGCUCACGGGGCUUUCUAAAGGUAUGAUUCGCCGCUAGGGCCAACAGCGCGUUCGAAAUCUCAUUUUAUAGAACGGUGCACAUUUUUGCUGUGUUAAGCUCCCGGAAAUGUGGAAGCCAGGUAGGCCCAGCCGACCUUUUAAACGGCAAACCCAUCCAAUGCGCGUAUUUCGCCAUCAUAACCCCUGGUUGCUUUCCAUCCAACGGGGAAUCCGAUGGACCCGCAGGCUCAGCUUCGGGUGAGCCCAUGCGGCCAUAAGCUGCCGCCUAACUCGGAGAGGACUGCACCCUCCGGGAUUGGCCUGCUUGCCAGUCGACCUUAUCAUGAUCCAACACUAACAAGGUGGCAUAUUGCUCCAAAUAUCAGACUUCAUAGCAGGUAAUCCAUUCCACACAGUAAAAUGUAAGCUCCUUCAAAAGCGGAACAGCUUGGACGCCCAACCAUCUGAGAGUUUCCCCCUCAACGCCAAGAGCACCUCCUGGUGUGGGGUUGCGUGAGCAAGUCAGAGAAACGGACCCCGCUGGGUCACCACUUGAUUCCAAAAGCCGAUAGCUCGCUUGGCCCAAAAAUAGUGCAGAGGAAAUUGCAAGAGCUCAGCAAACAGCAGCCUGUGCGCCGCCCGUGCAGCUCCUACUAUUUUGCGCAUGAACAAAAUACCUGCAGCUUCACCAUACGAUCAAUCAGACAGUUGACUUGUUACGGUCAUGGCACUUAGUGGUUCAUGAUGGAGCUUCAUCUAGAGCAUCUGCUCCCCACAUAUCACAGCCACAGGAGCAACAAACUGCAAUCCAACGCACCUCUUCCGUACACCAGGGGCCCAUUAACUUGUCUAGCUCGGCUAAUAAGCGGAACGUAGCAACUCCCCUGGCCUCAGUGAGGGGGCUCUCUACGAGUGGAAAAGUGUAGUGAGUCUGGUUGAGACGCACCAAAAUACAGCGAAAUGUAGCAGCGGAAAACAGACCACAAUAGGUGGUAAAGGUGCGAGGUGGGUGUGACCACGACACCAGUAGUAAUAGCAACGCUAGACUACUCAUGCCUACCAGGCAUCCGCACCGAAUUAUAUACGAUCGGUAACUGGUGACCGUAGCCCUGCGGGACUCCUCUUAACCUUCCUUGAUAGGAUAGGUCGAUCGACGCGACUGUAUGACUGACGACUGUCACACUUUACACAACCGACAACCUGUCAGUUGAUCUCAGCCUCGAACGUUGAAACGUCCGUUCGAUAUCCAACUGGGAUAUGCUGGGAUUCAUUAAUUACAUAACCAUACUGGUUAGAUUGACCAACCAUAGGCCACAACAUUUAUCCCCUCCUUUUAGGAGUCGUGCCCUCACGACUACGGGACUUAAUGAACUGCAACUCAGCAGCCAUAUCCGGUGUAAAGUGGUCAGCUGGUUCCCAACUGUUAUGUUCCGACUCGAAACCUUUCCACUUAACCAGAUAUUCAUCGACGUACUUACGUCCCACCUUCCGGCGGCGAUAGUCCAAUACUCGGUCUAUCGGAUAAGUAGUAUCCUCAGAGAACUCCUCCGGUAAUUGCUCAACAGGCAACGGUUGAAAAGUACCAUCGGUACGGUAGGGCUUAACAAGCGAUACAUGAAAUACAUUAUGUAUCUUCAAGUUGCUUGGAAGCUUCAGCUUCACAGCGACAUUUCCUACCAUUUGUUCGACCUCGAACGGGCCACACCAACGAGGCGUGAGUUUACGAAUGCCCUUACCUCGCAAACGCAAGUUUUUAGUACUUAAUAAAACAAGUUGUCUUGGCUCAAACAAAACAUCCCUUUUCUUGGCGUUGUAGUGUUGCUCAGUACGACUUUGAGCCGCCAAUAAACAUCGUUUAGCAUCAGCUAGGCGUUGAUCCAGUGUUUGCACAAAUGCCUUAGCUGUUGGUACAGUAACAUCUAACUCUUGUACAGUAGGUGUUGCAGGAUGAUAACCGUAAUUUAGAAAGAAGGGUGUUUGACCAGUAGACCAGUAGACCGGUUUACCGAAUUGUUAACAGCAAAUUCCGCCAAGGAUAAAACUUUAUCCCACGUGGAUGGAGAUCCAUCACAGUAAUUUCGCAACAUGUCGGCCAGCACACGGUUCAUGCGCUCUGUUUGACCAUUGGUCUGUGGAUGGAAUGCUGUAGACAGAUCUGAACGAAGAUCGACCAUACGAGCCAUAUGUUGCCAGAACAUUCCAGCAAACUGCGGUCCUCUAUCAGAGACUGUGGUUUUGGGCAAUCCAUGCAAUCGAACAACGUUUGCAAGGAACAACUCCGCAGUUUUCUCCGCUGUGACAUGCGUAUUGGUUGGUACCAAAUGAUCCAUCUUGGUGAGACGAUCCACCAUAACAAAAAUGGCGUCGUGUUGUCGUUGCGUACGCGGCAAACUAACCACAAAAUCCAUUGAGACACUGUGGUAAAGGAUACCGGUUCUUUACCGUUUGAGCGUUUAGCCCACGAUAGUCUACAACCAUUCGUAGGGUGCCGUCCUUUUUAGCAACGAAAAGGAUUGGUGCAGCCCACGGCGAACUACUUGGCCGUAUCAUCCCUUUACGCAACAAGUCUUCAACUUGUCGUUUAACUUCCUCCAAUUCAUUUGGAGUUAGUCGAUAUAGGGGCCGAGCAACGGGCUGAGCACCUUCGACCAGUGGGAUGGUAUGAGUCACCAAUCUUUCAGGAGGUGGCUCAGUUAUGUCCGCAAAGAUAUCCUGAUAUCGCUCCAACAAGGCGGCGAUUUCUGGAUCCGUCACUUUUACUUCAGCGGCUGAGGUAGUCAGUACGUCCGGCCCACCUGACCCACGGGUCGCAGCUGCGCGUACUACUGCGCCAGCAGUUAGCCGCGGACGGACUAAUAACACGUGCGCUCCCUUUCGCACCAUGUUUUUCGCUUGUGUGCGAUUAAUUGAUAAGCACUCUGCCCUGGCUUGCAUUGCCAUGAUAACGUGAUGUUUUGGGCGCUGAUCUUUGGAAGGAUCCUCCUUUCCGUGCGAAUAGGUACGACGAAACUCUUGCGUACCCUUCCGGAGUGUUACCACUCUGGUGUCAAAAUCGAUUCGCAUUCGACUUUGCUCUAAGAUAUUCGCACCUAAGAUCAGAUCAGCCGAGGUUGGCAACCCCUUCAUCACUAGGGUAGGUACUACCAACCGCACCGGUCCCACUCUCACCUUCAGCAUCGUAUGACCAACGAUGGGGGACAUUCCAACAUCCGCCAACCGUACGUACGUGAAGGUUGAGGGUAGCACGUGAAGAUGAAGAAGACGCACCAGCGCCUCGGAAACGAAGCUAUGCGUAGCUCCCGAAUCCAACAUGGCCAUAAACGUAGACCCUGAAAUCUUCACUGCUAGGUGAGGAACAGCAUUCCCAAUAGCUGUACAGGCAGGGAUUUCUUCCGUGCUGUCUGGACCAUCAUACCAUACCUCCAUAACUUCAGUAAUAGGAGGAAGAAGCGCGCGGCUUCCUUGUACAUCUGGUACGUAAAACAAAGAGGUACCCACUGGGUAUCGUCGUACCAAUUUCAUGCCUUUUAACAAAGAUGGUUCCGUUCCACUAGGAACUAGCAUGCAAGCUGCUGUUGACUGUGGAGCCAGCGGCUUACAGGCACGAUAAUGCGUUACGUACGCAGGCAAGUCAGCUGCAUUCGGAGCCAUCCAGACUGUAUGUCCGGCGUUACGUACGCAGGCAAGUCAGCUGCAUUCGGAGCCAUCCAGACUGUAUGUCCGGCAACGUUGGUAUCAAGGAAUGGGCGGGCUGUACACGAGAAAGCGUUACAUACGGCAGACAAGCCGCAGUCUGAUGCACAUGCAUCUAAAGUGAACUCUCGGCCCACAGUGGUUGCAAUACUAGCAACUUCGCUUUCGUGCACUGAUCGUCCCAAACCCUGCCAAUACUUGGACCAAAGACAAUUCCCAUCCGGGCGUCGAACGAACCUCGGAGGGGCAACUCCCUAGGCAACAGUGCCACCGGCACCACCGGCGCCAGCAUCCUCGUUCCAACGAGGACAGUUGUCAUAAGUGUGAUCCAAACCCAGGCACACCCAGCAACCGCGGAGGGACAUCGCCAGUUCAAUCUGCGCUUUUGGUAGGUACCCCCCACCAGGCGCUGGCUUGUUAGACAGCGCCAGGUUCACCCGCUGACGCUUCCGUCCCAUCACUUGUUGCCAUUCACCCUGGACCACUCGGCCCGCACCGCGACCGGCAGCCUCUGCACCGCGACCUGCGGCGGCUCCUCCUCGGGCACCACGGCCUCGACCCGGGUUAACAUUACCCCGGCCUCCCUGUCCGCGACCCCCACCUGGACCAUUGCGUCCGGCCACGCGGCCUGCUGGGCCACCACCACGUCCACCACCCCGGCCACGGCCUCCAGCACCACGGCCCGCACCCGCGUUGGCCGGCUGAAUAGGGGCAGCGACGGGCGGCGCCUGGACAGGUCCAGCGUGUACUGGAGCGGGUGCCGCCACAGCAGCAGCAAAGGAAGGUGGAGCCUGUAGGGCAGCAGCAUGAGAACGUACACGAGCAGCGGACUGUUGAACAGCCAUGCGAACUGCAUGUUGUUUUUCGACCCCCAUCGCAUGUGCCCGCAACUCGGCAUAGACGGUAUGCUCUUGGAAAUCAGUCGGGCGUACGGCGCACUCUUCACGUAAGUAUGGCAAUAGCUUCUCGCGGAAAUGCCAAAGCUUAGUUGGUUCUUGCAUAUCAGGAAUAUCCUGAAGUAGCGCUUCAAAACGACCAGCAAACGUAAGGACUGACUCAUUAAGCUCUUGCUUAAAGGCAGCGCUAUAGAAGGUAGUGCGCGCUACGUGCGUGCGAGAGUACAUCUCCGGGGCAAACCUGACCAGGAAGGCGUCCAGCAACUGAUCUGGGGUAUAGUCAGGAACCGACUUGGUCCAUGUAAUGUGCCACUCUUUGAAGAAUCCCUCCAAAGCCCCACUGAUAAACAACUUUUGCGCUGGAAUGUUAGCUUGCCAGCCAACAAGAACAAAGUAAUCCCGAACAUCAGCCACGAAUGCACGAAUUCGGUCGGGUUCUACGGGUGUUGCAACGGGCAACUUUGGCGCAGGGAUGUUACGUACCAUCUGCACAUCCGGGAGCUGUGCGACCGCAACAGCUGCUGGCACAGCAACGGGCUGUGCGGGGUCUGGCAUUGCGCCAGCGGCGGGUGCUCCAGCAAUAGGGAUUACUGGUUGACCAACAGGUGCGACGGGCACGGGCACAACGGGUGCCAACGGGGGAGCGGCAGCACCAGCCUCACCCGCUGCAGGGGCAGCAGCAGCAGCAGGCGCAGCUGCGGCAUCAGCAACUUGCUGAAAGGGGAUAUUCAGGUUAACUCCACCUGGUGCGGCAGCAUUCUGCGCCGGGCCCCAACCUGCGCCCCAUUGCCAACUGGCAAGGCUGGGUUCCCUGAGGAGCCUGACGCCAUAGGGUCGUUUGUUCCGCCUGUCCCGUUCACUACAAUACAGUAGGAUCUUGCUCACCGGGACAGCUAAUCGAACAACUUACUUGCAGUAAGAAGUUACUUACUGGGAGAGAUAGUCAGACGUGCGAAAUAUUCGCACUCCCUAUCAAUGCGCCCGGAAUGAGGGACUGCCGCUGUCCCAUGGACCUAUGGUCUCGAUACCAAAUCUGUAGUGAGUCUGGUUGAGACGCACCAAAAUACAGCGAAAUGUAGCAGCGGAAAACAGACCACAAUAGGUGGUAAAGGUGCGAGGUGGGUGUGACCACGACACCAGUAGUAAUAGCAACGCUAGACUACUCAUGCCUACCAGGCAUCCGCACCGAAUUAUAUACGAUCGGUAACUGGUGACCGUAGCCCUGCGGGACUCCUCUUAACCUUCCUUGAUAGGAUAGGUCGAUCGACGCGACUGUAUGACUGACGACUGUCACACUUUACACAACCGACAACCUGUCAGUUGAUCUCAGCCUCGAACGUUGAAACGUCCGUUCGAUAUCCAACUGGGAUAUGCUGGGAUUCAUUAAUUACAUAACCAUACUGGUUAGAUUGACCAACCAUAGGCCACAACAAAAAGGUUUUCUCUGGUCCGUAUAAAUGCUCUCCAUAGACAGCAGGCCUUGUCGAGUUCGUCUAGCCAUGAGCUAUUAGUAUUAGCUAUGCAUGAUUCUUCGGGGCCCAGUCUCCAUAACACGAAGGGAAUGUGCGCCUGUAACAUGAGUGACUGGGAGUGAAAAGUUAUGUAGGUUAGGUACGCAUCCCACACAUACUCUGAACAGAGACAGAGACAGAGACAGAGACAGAGACAGAGACAGAGACAGAGACAGAGACAGAGACAGAGACAGAGACAGAGACAGAGAC